AUGCUUUAUUUGACAUUGUUAACAGUUGCUCUUGUUCUAUAGGCUUGUACUAUUGUAUCUUUGAGUUCUAAGGAGACAGGAAACCAAGUCUGGUUAAUGAAGUAUGUCUAUGUGUCCAAAGCGUGAUUAAAAGCUACCUUUGGUCCCUACUGGCCAUGGAGCUGUAGAGGAUCGUUCUCAAUUCUAGAAGUGCUCUUUGCUCAGGCU
RNAcentral lists this small nucleolar RNA (207 nucleotides) under Nicotiana attenuata. RNAcentral describes it as "snoRNA Plant_U3". Lineage: Eukaryota; Viridiplantae; Streptophyta; Magnoliopsida; Solanales; Solanaceae. The record is from RNAcentral.